AUUGAACGCUGGCGGCAUGCUUUACACAUGCAAGUCGAACGGCAGCGCGGGCUUCGGCCUGGCGGCGAGUGGCGAACGGGUGAGUAAUGCAUUGGAACGUGCCCAGUAGUGGGGGAUAGCCCGGCGAAAGCCGGAUUAAUACCGCAUACGACCUGAGAGUGAAAGCGGGGGACCGAAAGGCCUCGCGCUAUUGGAGCGGCCGAUGUCGGAUUAGCUAGUUGGUGGGGUAAAGGCUUACCAAGGCGACGAUCCGUAGCUGGUCUGAGAGGACGACCAGCCACACUGGGACUGAGACACGGCCCAGACUCCUACGGGAGGCAGCAGUGGGGAAUUUUGGACAAUGGGGGCAACCCUGAUCCAGCCAUGCCGCGUGCGGGAAGAAGGCCUUCGGGUUGUAAACCGCUUUUGUUCGGGAAGAAAUCCUCUGGGCUAAUACCCCGGGGGGAUGACGGUACCGGAAGAAUAAGCACCGGCUAACUACGUG
Molecule: ribosomal RNA, 484 nt
Filed under: uncultured bacterium
Lineage: Bacteria
Description: partial 16S ribosomal RNA
Rfam family: Bacterial small subunit ribosomal RNA
Source: RNAcentral